CCCUGCCGCGGCUCCACCACCAUCGCGGAGGUGCCGCUGCUCCCACAGACGCUCGCGAGCCGACCCCCGCGCUCCGGAGCCUCCUCUUCCUCCCACACGCCUAAGACGCUCGCCCCGCCGGCUUCGGCCCCCGCCUCCUCCUCUUCCCUCUCGCGCUCCCCACAUUGUCUUAUCCUCAUUUUCUCUCCCAGUUGAGGGAAAAAAAAAAAAUCACCGUCUUCCUCAGGGAGCCCCUGGCCUUCCGAGAAACACCACCAGACAUGGUCCUGGGCCCCCGCUGCUGAAGGCUCGUCCCGGCAGGAGCGGCCGUGGCAGGCGAGCCCCGGCCCCGGCGUCGCGUCCCCGCUGGCCGCCCCCCGGCCCCGCGCCUGCGGC
RNAcentral lists this long non-coding RNA (375 nucleotides) under Marmota monax (woodchuck). Lineage: Eukaryota; Metazoa; Chordata; Mammalia; Rodentia; Sciuridae. The record is from RNAcentral.